GUGCUCAAUUCGGCAGCACAAACACGAAAACUGGACUGAUACAGACAAGACCCGCCUGGCCCCUAAGCAAGGAUGACAGGCACAUUCCUGAACUGUUUCUUAUUUUU
Molecule: small nuclear RNA, 107 nt
Organism: Hyaena hyaena (striped hyena)
Lineage: Eukaryota; Metazoa; Chordata; Mammalia; Carnivora; Hyaenidae
Source: RefSeq, a predicted model, not a curated record